Molecule: long non-coding RNA, 1015 nt
Filed under: Bos taurus (domestic cattle)
Lineage: Eukaryota; Metazoa; Chordata; Mammalia; Artiodactyla; Bovidae
Description: long non-coding RNA NONBTAT019656
Source: RNAcentral
UGACAACUAAAAACCACAACUAAAAAACCUAAUUCAGUCACAGAAUAAUCUUCUGAGGCCAAAAGUCCAUCUAAUGCAAUGAAGAUUUGCUUUCAUUAAAGACAGAGGUGAGGACAAAAUCUGCAGUGGAAGUUAUGAUAUGCUAGAAAGCAACAAAUGUGGAUCACUGACCAAAACGAUUAUGUACUUGAUGCAAAUGCAGAUUGCAUAUUGUUAUAUAUAUAUAGGACAUUGUGUUUUUGUUUUCCCCAUCCAGUCACUUAUUUUUGGUGGUGAAUACAUGUUGUUAGAAGAUGUCUUGUAUGGUCUGAAUCUUUGUUGUGUACUAUUUUUUAUAGUCUUAAGUUAUAAUGAAAAAAACAAAAAGUAGGAACCAAACAUAAAAGGUCUAGUAAAGCCAAAAAUUAAUUUCAUAUUGAUUUUAAAGUGAUCUAGCUGAGUUUUUACACUGAAAGCAAAGAUUAUAGCAAUUGUAGUCCAUGGUAUUUAUUUUCAGUCAAACCAAAGUUACAUAUAAUUCUGCCUCUGCUGAUACGGGAUAUUAACACUAACAAUACACUCCCUUUCAAAGACUUGCACAGGCCAAAUUGUUGGAAUGCUGGUUUUCGCGAAGACUCCAAACCCCCAAACUAGGAUAAUGCAUUAUGGUGUAGUUGAAAAUAGCAUAGUCAAAUGUUUGCUUAAAACCUAGAAACUUUACGUGUUGCUUUUCAUGUGCUGUGCCAAGUCUUGAUAAUACUUUUUCCCCCAACCAAGGGACCUCAUAACCUGAUGAUGGUUAUUGCUUUACAAACAGUUUCGACAGAAGGUGGCUGCUAGAGCUUAACAUAUGUACCAGUUCCAUGUGAUGGAGCUGGUCCUUGCAAACUAAGCUCAUCAUUUAUUCUUUGCUGAAGUCAGCAAAUAGAGUUAGAGAAAUACCCAGUCAUCAAUCACACCAAAUAAAAGGACAUAACGGCUUUCAAAAGGGUUUUCCCACUUACCCAAAAGGCUUUCUGAAAGCUUCUACCUCUGC